AUCGCUUCUCGGCCUUUGGGCUAAGAUCAAGUGUAGUAUCUGUUCUUAUCAGUUUAAAAAUGAGAUCGCUAGCUCAGUGGAUAGUGUGUUGGCCCACAGACU
RNAcentral lists this small nuclear RNA (102 nucleotides) under Myotis davidii. RNAcentral's name for it is "U2 spliceosomal RNA". It matches the Rfam family "U2 spliceosomal RNA". Rfam says of the family: U2 is a small nuclear RNA (snRNA) component of the spliceosome (involved in pre-mRNA splicing). Lineage: Eukaryota; Metazoa; Chordata; Mammalia; Chiroptera; Vespertilionidae. The record is from Rfam by way of RNAcentral.